UACGAAGGGGGCUAGCGUUGCUCGGAAUCACUGGGCGUAAAGCGCACGUAGGCGGCUUCUCAAGUCAGGGGUGAAAUCCUGGAGCUCAACUCCAGAACUGCCUUUGAUACUGAGGGGCUCGAGUCCGGGAGAGGUGAGUGGAACUGCGAGUGUAGAGGUGAAAUUCGUAGAUAUUCGCAAGAACACCAGUGGCGAAGGCGGCUCACUGGCCCGAUACUGACGCUGAGGUGCGAAAGCGUGGGGAGCAAACAGG
This 253-nucleotide ribosomal RNA is filed under the name uncultured bacterium. RNAcentral's name for it is "partial 16S ribosomal RNA". It matches the Rfam family "Bacterial small subunit ribosomal RNA", at positions 524 to 776 of the family's 1533-position model. The record is from RNAcentral.